UUGUUUGGACGGUUGGAUUGAUUUUAGCGGCUGGGUUUGUUACAUUGAUUGUGAAGACUGUUCCUAGGCGUCAUAAAUAUCCACCUCCUCCUGAUAAUUACACUAUUGCUCUUGGGAAAGCUCUCAGGUUCUUUAAUGCACAAAAAUGUAAUUUGGAACAUGAAAGGAGUUUCUAUAGCAGUGACUGAAGAACCCAAGUUUGUUAGUUUAUUGACUUGUAGUGACUAAUGCUAACAUAUAUUUAAAAGGGGCUUUACAGCCAGGCCCAUGAUCAUUAAAAUGGGCUCUUUACAUUAUGGAUCUAAAUUUUGCAAACAUGGGAAUGGGAUAUUAUUA
RNAcentral lists this long non-coding RNA (336 nucleotides) under Helianthus annuus (common sunflower). RNAcentral describes it as "sRNA HanXRQr2_Chr14g0626181". The record is from RNAcentral. Lineage: Eukaryota; Viridiplantae; Streptophyta; Magnoliopsida; Asterales; Asteraceae.